CAGCAGCCGCGGUAAUACAGAGGAUUUAAGCGUUAUCCGGUAUGAUUGGGCGUAAAGCGUCUGUAGGUGGCUUUUCAAGUCCGCCGUCAAAUCCCAGGGCUCAACCCUGGACAGGCGGUGGAAACUACCAAGCUGGAGUACGGUAGGGGCAGAGGGAAUUUCCAGUGGAGCGGUGAAAUGCGUUGAGAUCGGAAAGAACACCAGUGGCGAAGGCGACUCUCUGGUCUGUAACUGACGCUGAGGAGCGAAAGCGUGGGGAGCGAACAGGAUUAGAUACCCGUGUAGUCCCUGUCUCUUAUAC
This 301-nucleotide ribosomal RNA is filed under the name uncultured bacterium. RNAcentral's name for it is "partial 16S ribosomal RNA". It matches the Rfam family "Bacterial small subunit ribosomal RNA", at positions 509 to 807 of the family's 1533-position model. The record is from RNAcentral.